GAUGAACGCUAGCUACAGGCUUAACACAUGCAAGUCGAGGGGCAGCAUGAAAGGAACUUCGGUUCUUUUUGAUGGCGACCGGCGCACGGGUGCGUAACGCGUAUCGAACCUGCCUCAUACUCGGGGAUAGCCUUGCGAAAGUAAGAUUAAUACCCGGCGGUCUCGGAUGGCCGCAUGACUAUCCGAGUGAAGAUUUAUCGGUAUGAGAUGGCGAUGCGUCCCAUUAGCUAGUUGGUGAGGUAAUGGCUCACCAAGGCAUCGAUGGGUAGGGGUUCUGAGAGGAAGGUCCCCCACAUUGGAACUGAGACACGGUCCAAA
This 318-nucleotide ribosomal RNA is filed under the name uncultured bacterium. Its description in RNAcentral is "bacterial SSU rRNA". It matches the Rfam family "Bacterial small subunit ribosomal RNA", at positions 28 to 335 of the family's 1533-position model. The record is from RNAcentral.